Molecule: ribosomal RNA, 447 nt
Filed under: uncultured bacterium
Lineage: Bacteria
Description: partial 16S ribosomal RNA
Rfam family: Bacterial small subunit ribosomal RNA
Source: RNAcentral
AACGAACGCUGGCGGCAGGCUUAACACAUGCAAGUCGAACGCCCCGCAAGGGGAGUGGCAGACGGGUGAGUAACGCGUGGGAAUCUACCCAGUUCUACGGAACAACUGAGGGAAACUUCAGCUAAUACCGUAUACGCCCUACGGGGGAAAGAUUUAUCGGAAUUGGAUGAGCCCGCGUUGGAUUAGCUAGUUGGUGGGGUAAUGGCCUACCAAGGCGACGAUCCAUAGCUGGUCUGAGAGGAUGAUCAGCCACACUGGGACUGAGACACGGCCCAGACUCCUACGGGAGGCAGCAGUGGGGAAUAUUGGACAAUGGGCGCAAGCCUGAUCCAGCCAUGCCGCGUGAGUGAUGAAGGCCUUAGGGUUGUAAAGCUCUUUCAGUGGGGACGACAAUGACGGUACCCACAGAAGAAGCCCCGGCUAACUUCGUGCCAGCCGCCGCUGUAA